Long non-coding RNA from Brassica rapa (field mustard), 5566 nucleotides. RefSeq lists it as uncharacterized. The record is from RefSeq and is a predicted model, not a curated record. NCBI's taxonomy places the organism in Eukaryota, Viridiplantae, Streptophyta, Magnoliopsida, Brassicales, Brassicaceae.
GCUGCAAAGAAGACGGGACGCCUUGCCGAAACACAUGGCAGCACUUUUUUAUCAGUGAGAAUUGCACCGAGUUUUUCUGAUGCUGCUAUGCACAUCAUUGCAGUAGGAGGAUACAAAAAGAUUUGCCGACAAACAUUUAAGAAUGUUCUCGAAGAACAUCUUUAGAACUCUUUUCAAUGUUACCUGUCAACCUCAGUGACUGAUUACCUAUUUUCUGAACAUGUUUCAGGUUUCCGUUCAACGGCAGAAGUCUACCGGAGAGAUUUUUCACGGCGAGACCUUUAGUGACAUGAUUCACAAUCACCGGGAAGAGAAUUGCUAGUGAAAAAAAAAAAUUCAAGCUUUAACAAGUCUCUGAUUUUGUUAUGGAUCAAACCUGUGAGUUUCACAGAUGUUAAGAGAGAAGUAAUAGACUUUAGCUUCUGGGGAUGAAUUGUCAGUAACAGAGCUUGAAAUUCUAUGGCAUGUAGUUGUAUCUCCGAUAAUUGCCUCACAUUUCAUCAUUGUCAAGGAUUUGUCUCUACGAUGUUCCUGAAAGGUAAAGCCGUUUUCCAUGAGAGGAGAGCCUGACCUUCUUUAUUUAUAUGGAGAAACGUGGGAUGGAAAUAAAGUAGAAGAGUUUAGGAAAGGAUGAAGAAAGAACAAAAAAAAAUGUGUGUUAUGUGGGAAUCUUCAUAUGAGUCAUGAGUCUCUUACACAUAUUUUUUAAAUAAAAUUGUGAAUUGGUUUAUAUUUCUCUCUCAGGUUGAACAUGUGGCGAGGGAAGAGAUGGUCAUAUUCAGUCCUCUCAUUGUUGUUAAGGUUAUAUGUAUCAGGUCUGCAAUUCAUGUUAUCUAAUAUAUGAUGAAAUUGGUAUUAAAACUGCAAUUCCUGUUAAGUUUUACAUGCAAUUUGUUUAACCGCACAUGUGUUAAUAUCCUCUCAAGUCGCAGCUUUUAGCUGUUAGUUACUUAGUUCAACUUCAAGUGUUACAUUAUCUUUUCCACUAGCAACGUUCUUUGGCACCAGUGAGACUUGGGAAGAGAUAACGUGUCGUGUUUGAUAAUAUAUAAAUAAACUCAAUAAUAUAGAGGUGUAUAUUGAGAUACUCUGGUUUUACUUUAUUUUCUGGGAUUGGAGUUGACAUUUUUUGUAUGUUUAGAGGUUUUUGAAUGGCUAUAAACAAAAAAAAAAAACUAAACACAUUUGUUCUACUUCUCAAUAUGAUUACAGGACCCGGCAAAUCCAAUGGCUAUUCAGUGUGAUGAGAAGCACUGUCAUCCUCUUGGGUAAGAAAGCAUUCAGCUGUGGGGAUAAAUGAGAUGCUAAUGCGCAAAAUGUACAAGCAGUAAUGUGAUCAAUAAUGAUUUUAAAGUCAUUUUUCCAACUCUCUCAGACUAUGAUGUUCGAUAUUAUUAUCUCUCAACUUCUAAAGGUAAGCGACUAAUUUCUUUUUGAAUCCUAGACUGUGCAUUCUCCGGGUUUGUAUUACUCUCCUUCAAAUAUAAUAUUUUAUUGCUAGGGGAGGUCUCUAAACAUGAUCGUACAUGUUACUGAUUUAGUGAAGAUUCUCACUGAUUCCUUUUCAUCCCAGGUUUUCUCUUUCUAUGUGAUUGAAGAGCUCGACAAAGCUUCACUGAAGCGGAAAUAGCUUGAACGGUCUGAAGUAAAAAGCAGUCUUCCAUUGUGGAUAGUAUUUAAUGGCUCCACAGAUCCCAUGUUCUCUAACUGUGAGUAACAAUGGAUGCUUGGAGAAGAUGGUGAGCAUUUGCGCGGAUCAACGAGGGAAAUUGACGUCACCUCUGUUGUAGUCAUGAUUAUCAUCGCCAUAGCCGCCACUGGAGUCGUAAAUACAGUGGUAGGAGGAGGAUAAGAAAAGGGGUUAGGGUGUUGGAAGACUGGCGUUGAAGAUAGGUGUGAGGGAGAGAUAUACGGAGAGAAGGAAUCAGAAAUUGCGGGAGAGAAGAGAUGACGCUGUUGUUUUCCUCUACAGAUUUCUAGUGAUGGAUAAGCUUCACAACAUUUUAUGACUCUCUGUCUCUUUUGAUUCGGCUCACUUCUCCUAGAAAAGUUUUGGGUUUGUUCCACGAAGAACCAACGUAGCAAAUUCGCUUAAAACAAAAGAAAUGAUAAAAGUAUAUGUUGCAGGUAAAUACAACAUGAGUCAGAAAAGUAUCAUGCAGAAAUCUUAUAUCUUUUUCUAGAUUAAGUCAUGGACCUGAAGCUCCAUGAAUAUGACGAUGUUCAUUGGCUUCACCACUGUGGAUGUAUUUUAUCCCCGCUUCCUAUGCUGAAGAUAAAAAAGAUAGCAUUUUAGUCAAUGAAAAAAGAACGCCAGAUGCAUAAUCAUGAAUGCACCAGUCCAUAACGUUCAAAACAUCCAUAACCAAUGUUUUUUUUUUUCAGAUGUUACAAGCAAGCCCGCAGCAGAAGGAUAUAAACCAGACUAUAGAAAAGAUAUUAAAUUUUUAUUUUGUCACUCACUCAAUCAGGAACAAAUUUACGAAGAAAUACACUAAGAAAAAAAUGGACAAACAAAAAGAGAAGAAAUUACAAAAGAUAGGGAUGAUGACUACAAUGUGUGUAUAUAUAUGUUUUUAUAAAAUUCUUUGUUGAAAUAGAUUUGAGAUUUAUUUAGCAAUUGCAUUUGUGGUGGAUUUGAUAAGUAACAACUAAAUUUAGUUUGGCCUUCCCAACCAACUGAACACUAAUUUAAGAAGUUAUUUAAUUAAUUACAUAGAACAACUGAAUAGGACAGUUUCUAAGUUUAUGAAAAGAUUAACACAAUAAAUUAGAUUGUGUCCUAUGAUAUCACAAAAAAAAACUAUUUUAUAAGUGCAUUUACAACCAAAAAGGGAAAAAAAAUUCAGUAGUAAAGAAAAAAAAAGAAAGUUUAUUUAACAAGAGAUGAUGAGGAGGACGAUGCCAGAAAAGAAGAGCAUAGGUUCCUCACUUAGUAAGCAUGAGUGAGGGAUUUUAUUUUUCGGCAAAGAAGCUUAGUUUAUUUCUGAAAGAAAAAAUGUCAUGUUUUUCAGAGAAGCCCGAUUUUUUCUUUGGUUUGGUUUUGUUUAUGUCCUAUUCUAAUUUGUAUUGUGUUCUCAUGAACUAUGCCCCGGUUUGGAGGACAAUACUCUUUUGUAGUUUUGGUCAAACUAAGUUUUGGUCAAACAAAGUUUGCCUAGCUGUAAACUUAGUUAGACCAAUGAACUUAAUUUCUCAAUUGAAAUAAACCAAGUAAGAAGCCAGUUAAUAUGUUGGUUUGUACUUUUUUUUUAGGACAGAAGACCUAUAAACAUGAGCUCAAUAAUUCUAAAGUCAUAACAAUGGCUACAUCAUUUAUAAAUUUAUAUCAAUUAUUUUACAUCAAAAUAAUUGAAAUAAAAUAGAUUUCUGAACAUUACUAAAGUUUAAUAACUAUCAGUACAUUUUUCUGACCAUACUAUAUACAAUUUUCAAUGUAAAAAAAACACAACUAAUUGUGAGUUUUAACCAUUUUGAAUUCAUUGAAAAAACAAUGAAUACAAAAAAAAAUUAAUUUUUUUAUUAUUUUGUAACUUAUGAUAAAUUCUAAUGUACAUUUACAAAUACAAAUGUUAAGUUAUAAAUAUUAAAACUAUAGACAAAAAUCCAGGCGUAGCCCGGGACAGUCCCUAGUUGUAAUAAAUUGUCAAUAAUAGGAAUAAACUAACACCAAAUCACAUCAAUUAAUUUGAUUCUCUCUAUCAUCGUUCACUUCAUUUUUUUAGGUGGCAUCACAAAUAUAAAAUUGAAAAUGGAAAACCUAACUUUUUUUUUGUCAGCACCUAACUUUUUAAUUGAAAAUUUAGAAUAUAAAGCAUAAUCUAAAAACUAAAAAAUGAGUAAAAGUUAUUUAUUGGUUCAACUAGUGGUUCAACCGGUAUCGGGUUUUGGGUUUUAGUGAGUUUUUGCAGAUUUCUAAAUAAUGAGUUUUUCAUAAAACCCAAACUGAAUUUUUUCUGGGUCACCGGAUUUAUCGGUUCAACCGUGGGUCCGGGUGAGGUUUCAAAACAUUGCAUGACAUUAUGUAUUAAGGCUCCGAAUGGGAAUAGCGGAUUGAGCGGUGCGGGACAAGCAAUGUUUUGAAACCGGUUCUGACAGUUAUAAAAACAUAUAGAUAUAUGGUAUAUGCAAAGAUUUUUGUUACUGUUAACUGCGGUGCGGUGCGGGAAAAAUGUUACUAUUCGAGCCUAAGACAUAGUGGGAGUACACAUUUAAAUUUCAUUUUUUUUAAAUCAUAGGGUCAAACAGUCCUACUGAAUUGGUCCACCACUGCUCCCACGGUCCCACCUAAUAUGAUCACCUUUUCGACAACUUGUGGUUUCCAUAUUUACCAGUUUUCACACUGCUUUUCUUUAGUUUCUUCUUUAAGUAACAUAAAUCCUUUUAUUUUCAUCAUAAUAUUUACUUUAUAUGUUCCUAUAUAAAAGAUCUUUUAAAGCUUCCAUACAUAAGAAAAUAUAAUAAAUAUUUACAAUUAAUUUAAUAUUUAUUUUUACUAUACAGUUUCUAAUAAUUAUUAGUAAAUAAAAUUUGGAGACAAUUGGUUGUAUAUACUUUUUAAGAGGCAAUAUUAACUAAAUAUCCUAUGCACUUUAAAACCUCACUUCACUGUAGAAUUUUGUUCAUAUUUUCCCAUGAUACAUACCUCUCUAUAUACGAUUUUAUUAGAUUUGGUAUCUCUAUUUGUAGACUGAUAGGCCUCUAUUUAUUUUUAGGUGUGCCAACACACUGAUUCUAAACCACAUAAUUUAUUUCUUUAAUAAUAUAUCAUGUUCUACACUAUUUUCCAUUGCUGUCAAUGAUCACCAUUUCUUUCUUCUUCUAACUCUUCAUCAACAUACUUUUCAGUUUUUUCUCCUUUCUUUUACGUGUGUUGAUAUUCUCACAAGUGAUCAACUUUUAUCAUACAACCAAUUUAUUUUCUACUAUCGAUUGAGAUUUUUUUAUUUUUUGAGAUUUAUUUGAUAAGCUAAUUUAUUUCACCUUUCUAGUUGAUGAAUGAUUAUCUUCCUUUUUUCAUAAGUAAUUUGAAAUUCAAGAGAAUAGAAAGAUACAAGCGACGAUGUUUACGAAGUCUAUAGAGCCCGAACUAUUAAAAAGGAUUUGUGUUGAAGAAGAAAUUGACAGAAUUUGGAAGAUUAGAUCGUCAUAUCCACAUUUGUAUUGCAAUUUUAUGAGACUGAUAAAAAACACACUGUUUUAUUUAUUAACGAUAAGUUUGAAUGUAACAGCUAAUAUGUUAUGUUAUAUAUACAAUAUAUUAUAAUAUUUAACUUUGUUAUUGGAUGUGAAUAUUUUGAACAAUAUAUAACAAUAUAAUUUAGCGGUAACACAUUAUGUUAAAUGAAACUAAUUUGUGAUCAUUAUGUAUAUUAGAUAAUGUAUACCUUUUUAUGAGAUUGGCAGGUAAAUGUAGAUUUUUUAUUUAUUAACUAGAUAUGAAUACGCAAUGUUCAAAAAAAUAAACCGGUUCAAUGUCCAGACCAGGGUUAAAAAUAUUGAUUUAAAAAUAUUUUUUAUAAUAUAUAUAUAUAUAUAUAUAUAUAUUAAAUGUUAUAAAAAAUAU